CUAUAGCUCAGCUGGGAGAGCGCUUCAAUGGCAUUGAAGAGGUCAGGGGUUCGAAUCCCCUUAGGUCCA
RNAcentral lists this transfer RNA (69 nucleotides) under Anaerolineae bacterium. Its description in RNAcentral is "tRNA-Ala". It matches the Rfam family "tRNA". Rfam says of the family: Transfer RNA (tRNA) molecules are approximately 80 nucleotides in length. Their secondary structure includes four short double-helical elements and three loops (D, anti-codon, and T loops). The record is from RNAcentral. Lineage: Bacteria; Bacillati; Chloroflexota; Anaerolineae.